CAUCUUUCUAAGCCCUUUUUUUUUCCUUAUCUAAAAAAUUAGGGGCUAACCUUGUGCUUCCCCUUUGAAAUAGUUGGAAGGUUAACUGAGUUAUUACAAGUAAAAAGUGCUCAGAGCAAUGUUUUGUAUACAGCAAGUGCUCAAUAAUGUCAGCUCUUUCUGUUAGCGCAGUGCCUGGAAUGUGGUGGGUCCUCAAGGACAUUAAUAAUCUUUACUUUUGAUUAAAAAAUGAUGUAAAUAUUUUUAAAAUGGCUUUUUUUUAUGGAGUUGGGGGUGACUGGUGGGAACAAGAAUAAAAUAGACAUUCUUAUAUCUUCCCCUGUCCCCAAAGAGAAAAUAAAACCAAAAACUUGAAGAUUCUAAGUAGAAAGACAUGAUUUCUGAGUUUUUCAGGAUAACACCAUCAUUUUAAAUCACCUUCCUCUUCUUCUCAUCUCCCACCUGGCGUCCACAGGAAAGGAGUGGAGCCAUCUAGAGGGAUCCACCUGCCUCCUUUUUUCAAAUGUUAAGCAGCCUCUUUGCUACAUUGCAGCUUCGAGCUGAGUGCUAGAAUUGUAAACCAGUUGACAGUGGGAUGCUCUGAGUUGAGCUGGAGAGAUCUGAGCCCACAAGCUUUUUUUUUUUUUUUUUGUCUUUUUUGUCUCUUUUUUGUUGUUGUUGUUGCUAUUUCUUGGGCCGCUCCUGCGGCAUAUGGAGGUUCCCAGGCUAGGGGUCGAAUCGGAGCUGUAGCCACCGGCCUACGCCAGAGCCACAGCAACGCGGGAUCCAAGCCGCGUCUGCAGCCUACACCACAGCUCACGGCAACGCCGGAUCCUUAACCCACUGAGCAAGGGCAGGGACCGAACCCGCAACCUCAUGGUUCCUAGUCGGAUUCGUUAACCACUGCGCCACGACGGGAACUCCCCACAAGCUUUUUGAAACCUAAACCCUGGCUGUGCAUCAUAUUUGCUGGCUCUGGGGUGAUGUGAUUGCAGACCUUGUACAUAGAGAUUGCGUUAAAGGAGCUUUAGGCUUGUGGCCCCAGUACUUCACGCUGAGGAGCAUGGGUAGACACUGCACUGAGUGUUCACAGGGUCCAAGGUCAAUGAGAGAGAAUGAGAGGGAGGGAGGAAGGGGAGGAAGGGAGUUCACAGGGCAGGGAGUGGAAUUCCUGUCCAUCAGGAGGAAGGUGACUUUCCUACUAUACCAAUGCGUUUUGAGGGAGCAUAGCUUGGCUACUUGAAGUCCACUUGGCUGCAAUGACCUGGACCCUGGGGUUAAGCCAAGGAAUACACAUGCGUGUGUACAUGCACACAGGGGAGGGGGCAGCAUCCCCUCCAGGAUGCAUCGUUUUCAACAAGAACAUCGGACGUGAUCAAGAGGGCUGCCUCAUGUUCAGGAAGUGCAGCAAGUGGCCUUCUCUGUUCCUUCAAACUGCACCCGGUUUGAUUUUUCUAUACUCACACAUGGUCAUUUUCAUGAAAACAAACACUAAGAAAAACAUACAUGAGAAAGUAAACAUUACUGCAGAUUCACCCCCCCCAGGAUCACGACUUGGACCCUUCUGGAGACAGUUCUUCUAAACAUCUCUCUCAUUACCCCUCUGUUAUUAGAUACACUUGGGCUGUCCAGUGUGGGAACCAGUUGCCACCAGUAGAUCUUGAGCCGUUGAAAUGUGGCUAGUCAGAAUUGACAUGUGCUGUGUCACAUCCACAGCAGAUUUUUAAAAAAGAGCCUGUAAAAUAGCUAUUAAGUUUAGAUGCUGGCCGCACAUUGACACGAUCAUAUUUUAAAUACAGUGGAUUAAAUAAAAUAUACUAUUGAAAUCAAUUUGCUCCAUUUUACUUAUUCAACGUAUCUACUUGAUAAUCUUUAAAUUAUGUUUGUGGCUCAUGUUGUAUUUCCUCUGGCAGCUGGGUAUAGACUCAUCAUAGUUUUAGGAGGAUCCUGCUACAUUUUCCCAAUUUUUUGAACCAUAAAAAUAUGUUGUCAGUAUCUUCCUCUAGCAAUUGAUAUAUGGCAGCAUUAUGAUUACCUUAUAGCUGUGUGUCAGUAGGUCACAGUUGAUUUAACCAGUCCCGCUUCGUUGAAUGUACAAAGUUGUAGGAAAUGAUGCUGGUGACCAAGCUUGUACAUUCAUCUUUGCAAGCCUAUCUGAUUAUAUCCUUUGGACAGAAUUUCUCAACCAAAGGACGGUAGACGUUUUGGUCUGGAUAAUUCUUUGCUGUGGGAUUCUGUGCUAUGUAUGGUAGGAUAUUUAGUGGCUUUCCUGGCCUCUGCUCACUAGUUGUCAGCAGCACGCUUGUCCCUGUGCCCCCCUCCCCCACGCCCAGGCAGGAUGACCAAAAACAUCUCUGGACGUUGCCAUGUGUCCCCUGGGGGCCAAAAUCACCCCAGUUGAGAAGCACUGACAUUAGGUAGAUUAUCAGAAUAGGAAAUGCUGGGUUGAAAGGCAUACAUAUUUAAAAUUUGUAUAGAUGGAUGAUAGAUAUUGAAAAUUUUAUAUCUAUUCCCACACUGUUUUCUAGAAGAAUGGUAUCAAUUCAUGUAUGUAUCAGGAGUAACGUGAUCCUCAUUAAAUGCCUACAAGAUAUUUAAGAAAGGAGUGCUGGGUAUUUGUUAAUUUAUUUGUUGGCAUGUUUAUGUGUAUGUGUGUGUGUAUUGGUGUUCUAAGGCCACACCGAAGGCAUAUGGAAGUUCCCAAGGUGUAGGGGCCUACACCACAGCCACAGCAACGUGGGGUUCAGCCACCUACACCACAGCUCACUGCAACACCAGAUCCUUAACCCAUUGAGUGAGGCCAGGGAUCGAACCUAGUUGGAUUUGCUACCACUGAGCCAUGACGGGAACUCCGAAUUUUUGUUUAAUCAUCUUUGUUUAGUUGCUUUCCUAAGAUCAGCUAUUAUAAAGACCACGGUGUGGAGGCAGUCUAGGUAUUCUAGGACUUCUGUGCUUAGCGAAAAGCUUGGGGGCGGGGGAGAGAAAGAUGGUAGAAAACCCAAGAGAAAACCUCUCAUUACUUUGCAAUUUAGGACUGUUUCUUACAGUGAGACACAGGACUAAUAGUAAAUGAUGUGAUGACGAUAGCUAAUUAUUGAAUAUUUGCUGUGUGUCAGGCACUGGGCUAAGUGCUCUUACUUAUAAUUUCAUUUAAAUUUCAGAGAAAUCUGUUAGGUAAGUGCUACCAUUUUCGCCAGAUGAAGGAAGAUGGGCAUAGAAAGGCGGCCAGCCAUUCAUCGGGCAGGCCCAGGGUCACGACCCUGGUGGUGUGGCCAGGAUUUUGAAGCUGGCAGUCCAAGUGACCACACUAUCCAUUAAUUCACCCUUCCAGCAAAUAUUUGAGCUUCUCCUAUGCGCCAGCUACAGUGUUCUUGGCCGAGUUUAUAAGAGUGAGCCAAAAAUGACAUGAUUGCGGCCUCGUGCAGCUCGCAGACUGAUGGGGGCUGAUAAAAGCUAGUCUAAUGAGGACUAGGAAGAGGAGGUUCAUGAGACUUUGAGAACCUACAAGGGGGGACCUGCCCUCGUCAGGAAGGUCAGGGAAGGCUUCCAGGGGAAAUAAGGAUUAAAAUAAGAUCUGGAAAAAGAGCGGAGGGUGGUGGUUAUGGGGGAGCCAAAGAAAAGGAACAUCACGUCUCAUUUGCUGGGAUGGACUGGGGUGUGUUGAAGGAACUGGCCCUAUGUAGACAGGGCUAGGGUGAGUAUGAGGCCAAGGAUACAGGUUCUAGGCAGAAUGUCCAUGGAUCUGUGCUUCCAAAAACAGUUCUGUUUGUUGUCUGUUCUUGUAGUGCAGGGUGUGUGAGAUGGGAUAGGCUAGGGUUGGGGAGUGGGGGUGGAUAACGUGGUCGGAUUUGUGUUGGGGAAGGAUCGCUCUGUGAUGGAUGAAGCAUGCCUGGGGGCAGUGGGCAGUAGAUACAGAAAACUAGGAAGGUGGGCAGUCACAAGUAAUGAGCAUUUCUGCCUCAGUGAUUUAUUGAUGCUUCACCAACUAACCCAAAACUUAGUGGUUUAACCAGCAACUGUUGGUACAGGAUUCUUCCAUUUGGGCAGGGCUUAGCAGGGGUGGUUUUUCUCUGCCCUCCAUGGUUUGCUGAGGAAUACAUUCAUCCCUGAGCUUAGGUGUGGCUGGAAUGUCCAAGUUGGCUUCACGUACACACUUGGCACUUGGUGCUGGCCCUGACUUGGCUCUCAGGUUACCCUCCCCAGCAUGGAAAACUUAGGGCGAAACGAGACAUGGCCAGGUUUCUUUAGGUCUAGGUCCAGAACAGGCACAGCCCUCUUUACUCCUUUGCAUUUGUCAGGGUACAUCCUAUGGCCAGUCCAUACUUAAGGGAAGGAGGAAAAGAAUCUACCCUCUUGAUGGGCAAGUGCACACAAGAAUGGAGGGAAUCACUGGUAACCAGCAUUGGAGGCAACCUGCUGAAAGUUGCUAUGUGCCAGACACAAUUGAAGGCAAUGAGAAUAGAACACAGUGAUACAAACUCGUUCCCAUUCAUGUAGCCUUACAGAUGGAGACCAUAAGCAAACAAAUAAGCUAUAGCAGUGUCAGAUGUAAUUUGCUAAUGCAGUGAACUAAAAUAGUGGCGUCACAGAGAGUAACUGCGUCGGUCGAUGUUAGACUGUUGGAUUGUUGGGGAAGUGCCUCUAAGGAGGUAACAUUUAAAUUGAGAUGAUGGGGAGUUCCCAUCAUGGCUCAGCGGUAACAAACCCGACUAGUAUCCAUGAGGAUGCAGAUUCGAUCCCUGGCCUUGCUCAGUGGGUUAAGGAUCCGCAGUGCUGUGAGCUGAGGCAUAGGUCGCAGAUGCAGCUUGGAUCCUGGGUUGCUGUGGCUCUGGUGUAGACUGGCAGCUAUAGCUCCGAUUUGACCCCUAGCCUGGGAACUUUGACAGGCCGCGAGUGAGGCCUUAAAAAGCAAAAUAAAUAAAUCAAUUGAGACGAUGAAAAGGAAUUGCCAGAUAUGGGUUGGGAAACAUGUGUUCCAUGUAAGAGCAAUAGCCAGGUCCACAAGGUUGGAGUGAAACGCGGCAUGCUUAAAGAAGAGAGAUGAGGCCAGUGUGCAGGGUGGUGUGCAAAGAGGAGAUGGAGGAAGCUGUGGAGGACAGGUAAAUGGGGAAGGAGGCUCUGACAGGAGAUCAAGCUAGAGAAGACUGAGAGGUGGACCUUGAUGUUGAUGGUACACAAGCAAGGGAAGAUAGGCUUUAAGAGAUGUUUAGGAGUGAAAAUUAGGCUGCCAUCAUUGAUGGAUUGAGUAAAUGCUGCCAGAGGGAGGGAGUAUUUCAAGAUGACACCUCAUUUUUUUUCAUGUGACCAUCUCUGGAUGGAGGUACCACUGUGAGAGUUAGCAGAAUCUUGGGAGAGCCCUAGAGUGGAGUAGGAAGAUAAUGAGAUUAGGUUGGAAACAUCUUGCGUUUUUCAGGUUGGAACUGCUUUGACUUGUGCUCUGUGCUGAGUCUUUGUGUCCAGCCCAAAUUCAUAUGUUAAAUCCUUACACCCAGUGUCAUGAUGUCUGGAGGUGUGGCCUUUGGGAGGUGAUUGGGUCAUGAGAAUGGAACCUUUUUGCAUGGGAUUAGUACCCUUUAAAAGAAGGGCCAGACAUGUGAGAAGACAUCAUCUGUGAAUCAGAAAGUAGAUCCACUGAUUCUGCAGGCCCACCUUGAUGUUGAACUUCCCAGCCCCUAAAACUGGGAGAAAUAAAUUUCUGUUGUUUAUAAGCCACCAAGUCAAUGUUGUUCUGUUAUAGCAGUCCCAGUGGACUAAGACAGUGUAUUUUAUCUCUCUUGUAACUAGAGAGCCCAGAAAUUCUUAUAACAGCAAAACUGAGCCCAUAGACUGCCUUUGGAAUCUUAUUGUUAAAAGAUUUAGUCUUACCAUAUACUCUGGUAUUUUGUUCAGAAAAUACCACUGCUGGAGACCAU
RNAcentral lists this long non-coding RNA (5891 nucleotides) under Sus scrofa (pig). RNAcentral's name for it is "lncRNA (ENSSSCG00050039501.1)". Lineage: Eukaryota; Metazoa; Chordata; Mammalia; Artiodactyla; Suidae. The record is from RNAcentral.